AUAUUAUAAAAAAAUUGAAAGUGGGUGUGGUUUGUAAAUUUGGGGGGUGCAAAUUUCACCCCCCUAGAUUUACAGCACUUUAGACAAAGACCCCGACAAAAUAAAAUGGAACUCUUCCCUUUGCAAGUUUUGUUAUUCCCUCCUAUUCACACUACACAAAUAGAGACCAGCAGCGAACACCAGGAUAACACCUCUCCUCUUAGCGCUUAGCCAUAGAAACACCUCAGUCAACAAGGGAUAGCAGUUUUUACAAUUUAACAAUAAUUCACUCCAUCCCAAAUUUGUAAGCACAUGGGUAGUGUAAAAAGAUGUUUGCUGACUUUGGUCAAUUCACACACUGUUUUAUACAAUAACACGUACUGCAGAGAAAAUGAAAAAGUACAGGACCUCCUCUAUUGAAGCAUAUCUCAUGUAUGGGUCUUCUCAGAUGCUACUUCUGCAAAUUUUCAGUCAAAUUGGAAAUUUUCACCAGAAGUCUGCACUUUGGCAAUUUGUGUGGCAAUUUGUGCAUCUGAAGUUACCAAUAAUUUACCAUGUGUUUUGUAAUCAGUAUAAGCAUCCAUGAUUUCGGUGAUAUUUUGAAUAAUCCAAAGUAUCGCUACAUUCACCAUCAUUUAUAAUUUCAACCUUGCAAACUCUCUCAUUUAUAUUUACCAUCAUCUAUCUAUCUACCUAUCUAUCUAUCUAAUAAUUGUGUGUACUCAUGGAUGCACUUGUCAGAUGCACUCUUUUCAUAUGUUUUUAUAUCUUCAUAAUCAAUAUAUCCUGCAAUAUUGUAGCCAAAUGUUUGUGUGUGUUCAUAUACAUAUAUUCAAUAUCAUUAUGUUUGUUGGUUUAUCACGAUUCCAAAAGCUUGAGCUAAUACAACAUGUUGACAGAUUACAUGAGCAAAUUAAUGACACUUUUACCCUGUUUUGCAGUACAUCGGCUCUUGGUAAAGGAAUGUCAACUAAAGAGAGAAGGAAAUUAAAGCACGAGCUGCAGUCCCUAAAGAUGGAGGACAUAUCUUCAUUUAUGGAAUCUUUGCCAUCUGACUUCCUCACAAUAUUGCGUACAGAGUAAGCUAUGAGCACAACCUCAGCUCUCUUUAUAAGAUGCUGUGAUACUUUUCACAUCCUUUACUCUUGUAUCUUUCUCUCUAUAUUCAGUGGACUAUUGAGGUCUAUUGCUAGUAAGUUGGGCGAUUGACAAAGAGUCAGGAUACUAGCCUAUGCCAAAUAUGCACUAUAUGGUCUUUCCCCAAAGUUGAAUCCAGAAUCUGACAAUGCUAUUAAAGUAAAGUUCUCACAAUUGACAGCAUAUGUGAGUUACCUUCAGUUAAGGCUUAUUCUUGAGGUCCUAGAGCUGCUUUCUUGGAUAGCAAAGGUCAAGCAGCUUCUAUUUAAUUUUUAUGAAAAGAACGGUGGCGCCCUGGUGCUGUGAGGGAAAUCUUGAUUUUUUUGAAUGAUCUCAACCUAUAAAGGAGGUGUUUUGUUCAUGAGAUUUCUCAAAUUUGUGUCUUGUUUAUUCUGUGUGACAAGUCCAUCUCUUUAAAAGGG
Long non-coding RNA from Rosa rugosa (rugosa rose), 1538 nucleotides. RefSeq lists it as uncharacterized. Lineage: Eukaryota; Viridiplantae; Streptophyta; Magnoliopsida; Rosales; Rosaceae. The transcript has 3 exons. The record is from RefSeq and is a predicted model, not a curated record.